Brassica oleracea var. oleracea is the source of this 693-nucleotide long non-coding RNA. RefSeq lists it as uncharacterized. The record is from RefSeq and is a predicted model, not a curated record. NCBI's taxonomy places the organism in Eukaryota, Viridiplantae, Streptophyta, Magnoliopsida, Brassicales, Brassicaceae. The transcript is spliced from 2 exons.
UUUAUCCGUGUGAAGUGAGAGAGACUUUGGUCAUCAUUACAAUCUAUACACGAGAUUUCAGAAUUAUUUUCUCAUCUCUCCCAGACUCUUUGUUUUCUCCGCAGUUUCGAUUAUACUCUCUCUCAAUCUCUUUGAUUUCUCCGUUAGAACCAAUGUCCACAUAGAAUCUUACAUCUCUCUCAUUCUUUCUAAGUUUUUCCUACAAUACCUUAGCGACGAUACCGGCUUCCAUCAAUUGCAAUCAUCUAUUAAAAUCCAUCGGAAUCGUUGCUCCAAAACAAUCUCAUACUCGCCGGAAUCUCACUGUAUUCAAUUAUCUCCUAUUCGAUUGUAAGUAUAGAUCAUGUCACUAAUUGAUGCUAUUGUUUUGUUUGAUGAGUACGUGAUGAUGAUGGCUGCUGGAUAUCAUUUUUUGAAACCACCAAUGAACUGAACAGUCGCAAACCCCCUCAAAAGCACCAAUGCAAAUUAUGUGUAUACGGGAAUCAAAAGAGUAGUGUAUGUGAGCUUCUUCGAACAGUAGAUAGGAGCUGCGUCUGGACACAAAAAUAGUGCUUAGUCUUGGUGAUUCUUUACGAGCAAAUGCUAUUAACUUAGCUAUGAUUUACUGUUAGACUGUUAACAUAUGUAAUAGCCUAGAAAUCCAAUGUUAGAUUGCUAACAAUUUUAAUAGCAUAUAAUCAUUUAUCUGUU